GACGUAGGAUCCGAGCGUUGUCCGGAGUUACUGGGCGUAAAGCGCGCGCAGGCGGACCGAUACAUCGGCGGUGAAAGCCCCCCGCUCAACGGGGGAGGGUCCGUCGAGAUGGUCGGUCUGGAGGCAGGGAGAGGCCAGUGGAAUUCCGGGUGUAGUGGUGAAAUGCGUAGAUAUCUGGAGGAACACCGGUGGCGAAGGCGGCAUCCUGGACCGGCAUUGACGCUGAGGCGCGAAAGCUAGGGGAGCAAACGGG
This 253-nucleotide ribosomal RNA is filed under the name uncultured bacterium. Its description in RNAcentral is "partial 16S ribosomal RNA". It matches the Rfam family "Bacterial small subunit ribosomal RNA", at positions 524 to 776 of the family's 1533-position model. The record is from RNAcentral.